Molecule: long non-coding RNA, 754 nt
Organism: Syngnathoides biaculeatus (alligator pipefish)
Lineage: Eukaryota; Metazoa; Chordata; Actinopteri; Syngnathiformes; Syngnathidae
Exons: 3
Source: RefSeq, a predicted model, not a curated record
CUCACUCUAAUAGAGGAUCUUAGACGUGUCUCCGGUGGAAAUGUGAGCAUGGUGAACAUUAAGUCUGACAACAACUCAUAACUACGCUGAAUGUGUUCUAAACAUUGAACCUUGGGAAACUUACGCCUUUUGGUGGUGGAGGAUGAGCAUUCUUGGCCUGGAUCUUCUCUUCGCUGUAACGACCGUCCAUGGCUGCUCACUUGGUGUUGAGGCGGCCCGCAAUGCAGCCCAGCCAGAUUCUCUCCUGGUGCUGUUGUGUCUUCCAUUUUAAAUGUCCCAUAUGUUUGGGCUUUGCUCCCUGUAAAUUCCAGGGAGAACUGCUGGGGUGUCCAUUAUCCUUUCCACAGUUCACGUCAGUCCUCGUUGUUGAGCUCGGUGGCUGACUGUUAGCGCAACUCUGCUCACAAUUUUGAGACAUCUGCAGAGUGGUUUCAUUCCCUGACUGUCCAUUUACAUCCACAUAAACUUCAAGAUGGCAGUUUUUCGAUUCCAGAAUUGACACCCUCUGCAGUAGUCCAUGAUAGUCCUCAGUAGAGAAGGAAGCCAUCUUGAUGGCUGGUCUUGUUACUAACACCAGGUUUGUGCUAAUUAGCAGCCCACACUCACAUCAGCACGAAACAACUGAUUAUCCACAAAAACGAAAAAUACAGUCCCACAGAUUAAAAAGUAUCCAGGAGUCGGUGGUUCUAAAUACUAAAUAUUUUAGAAGGUGAACGAGCUUAUUCUUCAAGAAAAAAGUGUCAACAGAGCCAAA